GAUGAACGCUGGCGGAAUGCUUUACACAUGCAAGUCGAACGGCAGCACGGACUUCGGUCUGGUGGCGAGUGGCGAACGGGUGAGUAAUGUAUCGGAACGUGCCCAGUCGUGGGGGAUAACGCAGUGACAAUUACGCUAAUACCGCAUACGAACUAGGGAUGAAAGCGGGGGAUCGCAAGACCUAGCGCGAUUGGAGCGGCAGAUAUCAGAUUAGGUAGUUGGUGGGGUAAAGGCCCACAAAGUCAACGAUGUGUAGGUGGGCUGGGAUGACGACCAGCGACACUGGAACUGGGACGCGGUCCAGACUCCUACGGGGGGCAGCGGUGGGGGAUUUUGGACAAUUGGCGAAGGCCUGGUCGAGCAUUUCCGCGUGCAGGAUGAAGGCUCUCGGGUCGUAAACUGCUUUUGUACAGAACGAAAAGGUUUCUACUAAUACUAGGGGCUCAUGACGGUACUGGAAGAAUAAGCACCGACUAACUACGUGCCAGCAGCCGCGGUAA
Molecule: ribosomal RNA, 500 nt
Filed under: uncultured bacterium
Lineage: Bacteria
Description: partial 16S ribosomal RNA
Rfam family: Bacterial small subunit ribosomal RNA
Source: RNAcentral